GUGGUUUAAUUCGAUGCUACACGGAGGACCUUACCUGGGCUUGACAUGUAGGUAGUAGUGAAGCGAAAGCGGAACGACCCUUUCGGGGAGCCUACACAGGUGCUGCAUGGCUGUCGUCAGUUCGUGCCGUGAGGUGUCGGGUUAAGUCCCGUAACGAACGCAACCCUUGCCCUUAGUUACAUGUGUCUAAGGGGACUGCCCGGGACAACUGGGAGGAAGGUGGGGAUGACGUCAAGUCAGCAUGGCCUUUAUGUCCAGGGCUACACACACGCUACAAUGGCCGGUACAAUGGGUCGCCAAGCCGUGAGGCGGAGCCAAUCCCCCAAAGCCGGUCUAAGUUCGGAUUGUGGGCUGCAAUUCGCCCAUAUGAAGCUGGAGUUGCUAGUAACCGCGCGUCAGCAAUAGUGCGGUGAAUACGUUCCCGGGCCUUGUACACACCGCCCGUCACGUCAUGGAAGCUGGCAACACCUGAAGCCAGUGAGCUAACCCGCAAGGGGGGCAGCUGUCGAAGGUGGGGCUGGUGACUGGGACGAAGUCGUAACAAG
This 545-nucleotide ribosomal RNA is filed under the name uncultured organism. Its description in RNAcentral is "bacterial SSU rRNA". It matches the Rfam family "Bacterial small subunit ribosomal RNA", at positions 941 to 1495 of the family's 1533-position model. The record is from RNAcentral.